GAGUAACGCGUAUGCAACCUACCUAUCGAGAGGGAACUAACCGGCGAAAGUCGGACUAAUACCGCAUAAAACAGGGGCACCGCGUGGUGAUAUUUGUUAAAGAAAUUCGCUGAUAGAUGGGCAUGCGUUCCAUUAGGUAGUUGGUGAGGUAACGGCUCACCAAGCCGACGAUGGAUAGGGGAACUGAGAGGUUGGUCCCCCACACUGGUACUGAGACACGGACCAGACUCCUACGGGAGGCAGCAGUGAGGAAUAUUGGUCAAUGGGCGAGAGCCUGAACCAGCCAAGUCGCGUAGAAGGAAGAAGGAUCUAUGGUUCGUAAACUUCUUUUGCAGGGGAAUAAAGUGCAGGACGUGUCCUGUUUUGUAUGUACCCCGAGAAUAAGGAUCGGCUAACUCCGUGCCAGCCGCUGC
This 413-nucleotide ribosomal RNA is filed under the name uncultured bacterium. RNAcentral's name for it is "bacterial SSU rRNA". It matches the Rfam family "Bacterial small subunit ribosomal RNA", at positions 108 to 518 of the family's 1533-position model. The record is from RNAcentral.